RNAcentral lists this ribosomal RNA (497 nucleotides) under uncultured bacterium. RNAcentral describes it as "partial 16S ribosomal RNA". It matches the Rfam family "Bacterial small subunit ribosomal RNA", at positions 28 to 507 of the family's 1533-position model. The record is from RNAcentral.
GAUGAACGCUGGCGGCGUGCCUAAUACAUGCAAGUCGAGCGAACAGAUGAGGCGCUUGCUCCUCUGACGUUAGCGGCGGACGGGUGAGUAACACGUGGAUAACCUCCCUAUAAGACUGGGAUAACUUCGGGAAACCGGCGCUAAUACCGGAUAAUAUAUUGAACCGCAUGGUUCAAUAGUGAAAGACGGUUUUGCUGUCACUUAUAGAUGGAUCCGCGCCGCAUUGGCUAGUUGGUAAGGUAACGGCUUACCACGGCAACGAUGCGUAGCCGACCUGAUAGGGGGGUAGGCCACCUUGGAACGGAGACACGGUCCAUGGUCCUGCGGGAGGGAGCAGUAGGGAACGGGCCGCAGUGGGCGAAAGCCUGGCGGAGCAGCGCCGCGUGAGUGAUGGAGGUCUUCGGAGCGGAAAACUCUGUUAUGAGGGAAGAACAAAUGUGGAAGUAACUAUGCACGGCUUGACGGUACCUAAUCAGAAAGCCACGGCUAACUACGUG